Cyprinodon tularosa is the source of this 350-nucleotide long non-coding RNA. RefSeq lists it as uncharacterized. The record is from RefSeq and is a predicted model, not a curated record. Lineage: Eukaryota; Metazoa; Chordata; Actinopteri; Cyprinodontiformes; Cyprinodontidae. The transcript has 3 exons.
UCCUGACCGCAGUGGAUCUCUUCUGUGUUUUUUGAAUCCCAUGUUGGACCGAGCCGCUACAAGCUUUGGGCCAUCAGAAGAUGCUGAUGAGAUCUGCAGCGACCGAACCAGAGGAGGAUCAUCUGAGCUGCUGACCUUCACAAAGAGUGAGAGCAUGUUCAACACUGUGGACGUCCAAAAGCAAAACUCCUGUGAGGAACCGGGACAUCCAGGAUGGUGAGGAGCUUCCCAGUCCCCACCUGAGGACGGCACAGAGAAAGACUGGAACAGAAAACACACGGAGGAAAGCAGGUUGAACAGCUAGCAGUGUUCUAGCAGUCGGAUCACAUUGGAACAGAAUCCAUCCACAC